CACCGUACAUAGAGGCUAUAGCCCAACCCUUUUCCUCCUAUUAUUCCCGCCAAAAUCUCCCGUUCAUACGAUUCCCCAGAGUAAGAACGUCAUCUCGCCUUCAAUACUUGCAACUCAGAUCAGCAGCUAAAGAAAUGGACAACGGCGGCGGCGGCAGUGCAGCGCCCACCGGAUGCUACAAGUGCGGCCGCCCGGGCCACUGGUCCCGAGAUUGCCCUUCACAUCCCAACCAAAACCCUAAUCCAUCGUCCUCCAUUUACCCGAAACCCAAUUCGUCCAACUUCAAGUCCACCGGCGACGGAACUGUUGAAGGUGGUUCAAAACCAUUGCAGAAGUCCACCGAAAAGCCCAAGAAGGUACCCAGAUCGAGGCCCAAGCUCACCCCUGACCUUCUUCUCUCCAACGAUGGAAUCGGUUACGUCCUUCGCCACUUCCCUAGGGCUUUCAAGUAUCGCGGCCGCGGACAAGAGGUUAGUGAUUUGGGGAAUUUAAUUGGGCUUUAUGCUGAAUGGCAUUCACAUCUGCUUCCUUACUACUCAUUUGAUCAAUUCGUACACAAGGUGGAACAAGUCGGUGCCACGAGACGUGUCAAGACAUGCCUGGGAGGACUACGGGAUAGAGUUGCCAAUGGAGGUGACCCAACAAAGCUACACGAAACCCCUGCUGUACACAACAUCUCAAAUGCUGAUGAAGUUGUACAAGAUAUGAACAUAGAGGAGCCAUCUCUCGUACAGCAAGGUACAUCUUUGAAGAACCAUUGCACUGAUGAUUUCCAGGAAGACAUGCUUCAAGAGAUUUACGAGCAGGGUACUGAUGAAAUGAAAAAAUCUACAAGGUUGGAAAUUCAGAUUAAAUUGCUUGAUUAGAAUGAGAAGGCUGUGACUUCGCGGAACAGAAAAGCAAAAAAGCUGUCUUGCAUCUAUAUUCUAAGAGCCUUGGACGUAGGAUAAGAAUACUGUGUAAUGGUCCUUUUUGAUUCCCUUAUGGAGCUUCUGCGAUAUCUGUCGCAUAUUUAGAUGUCGAAUUUCAUUUCAUAUUUCUCAGGUGUAGCAUCUGUGCCUCUAACAAAUUGUGGGCAAAUGAACAUCCAUCUAUUGGGAGGAUACGAGCUGUCUCCAGCAAUGCAUAGCGAUGCUGUUGCUACAGAUCAUAUCUCUUCUCGUCAUCGCUCCAUGGAUGAUAUAUCAAAUCAAGCUAAGGAAACCCGAGGUAGCAUUACUAGGGAAAUACAGGUCUCAGAAGA
Molecule: RNA transcript, 1243 nt
Organism: Rhododendron vialii
Lineage: Eukaryota; Viridiplantae; Streptophyta; Magnoliopsida; Ericales; Ericaceae
Exons: 6
Source: RefSeq, a predicted model, not a curated record